Molecule: long non-coding RNA, 1646 nt
Organism: Acanthochromis polyacanthus (spiny chromis)
Lineage: Eukaryota; Metazoa; Chordata; Actinopteri; Pomacentridae
Exons: 4
Source: RefSeq, a predicted model, not a curated record
ACAGGAAGAUAAACGGCGCGACGUGCCAGGUAUUGGAGAAAGAGGGAGAGAAGAAUAAACAUGCUGUUGACAAGAACAGCAGAUGACGAGCAGAGAAAACCAAGUUUAUCGUCGAGGUGAUUAAAGUUGUAGACCUGCAUACUUUAAGUGUUGGCACAACUAUUAUUUAGCAGAGUUCUGUCUUGUGAUCAUUGCAGUUUAGCAUCUCACUAUACUGAAGUUCAAAGUGAAGUGCAGCUAAGCAAGCGGCUAGCCGCGGUUAUUGUUUUUUUACUAGCUUGAAAAAGUCUAGGCGUGGACUCAAACGUGGAAAUUUUAGCACGUAUUGAUAUCAGAGACACUUAGUUAUAAACGCCAGCCGCCACUUUCACUGAGGAGGACCGGGAAAGCUGAGGACUUUGCUGGAGGACCUUGCAUGCUAAUUAGCCUGUUGCUACCGCUGUGACGAGGGACUCCGCCGCUGAACUUGCGUGGACACACUGAGGACACUUGUUGCAUCUCUGUUGCUGCUUCAUCUUCACCGUCAAGACUUCAGACCUGCUUUGUGUCUGCAUCCUGGAGUUGGCUUUUUGGACUCCCGUCAAACUUCAUAAGCAGGAUCCAGAGUUCUUUCCAGAGGUCUCUCCAAACUCCAGCUCAUCCAUCACUGUGAUCUCUAUUAUGGAGCGAGCUCCCUGCCGUGGUCAAGGACCGUGAUAACAAGACAGCGUAGAAACAGAUGUGUGUAAAGGUGAACCGAGUGCACGCUGGAAGUGGAAAAGUGUGCUGUUUUUGAAGGUGUGAAAGAAAUGCAAUGCUGGGGCAUCUUUUCGGUCCAAUUCCACAAUUCCACACAGCAGUCUAUGGUUCAACUCCAGGAUGUGUUGUUUGCCUGGGAAAUGAUGCACUGGGGGACAGAGGAGCCAAUUUGCAAGUUCCAGGACUGAGACCAGGGGUGUCAAACAUGCGGUGCUCCAGAGGGUCCAAUCCGGCCCUCAAUGUGUAGAAAUUACAGAGAAAACAUUAACUGCAAAUUGUGAAUUUGUAGAAGUAUAAAUUUAAAAUAAUUUCGUGACCAUGACACGUUGUUUUGAUCAUGAAGUAAAAUACUGAAUUGUUCAUUGUUCUUUUGCAUCUUAUUUUUGCAAUAAUUUGUCUUGUUUUGUUGUUUUUUUCUCUUUUUUUAUCUGACUUAUGUCAUUUGUCUCAUGUUUUUGUCAUUUUGUUUCCUUUUUGUCUUGCUUGUGUUUUUGUCUUAUUUUUUGUCAUCUUGUGUUCUGCUUUAUUCAUUGUUUUGUCUGUCUUUGUGAUUUUUUGUCUCAUUUUUGUCAUUUGUCCAUUUUUUUGCUGCUUUGUAACAUUUUUGUGUAAUUUUCUGUCUCUUUUGUUUUGCUUUAUGUCGUUUGUCUCAUUUUCUGUCAUCUUGUUUAAGCUUUUGUUAUUUUGUGUCUCAUUUUUGUCAUAUUUUGUCUUGUUUUUCUUGCUUUUUGUCUUUUUUUCUCUGACUUUAGUUGUUUUGAUCAUAAAGUAAAAUACUGUUUUCAGUUCCAGAUACCUGAGACUGAAUGUUGUGUUCCAUUGUAGACACUCUGAUCUGUAAGUUGCAACGUGUAAAUGAUAAACUGAGGCUGAAUGUUGAUGAAAUUAAACUUAUCUUUCUUCAGAAA